UGGGGAAUAUUGCACAAUGGGCGCAAGCCUGAUGCAGCCAUGCCGCGUGUAUGAAGAAGGCCUUCGGGUUGUAAAGUACUUUCAGCGGGGAGGAAGGCGAUAAGGUUAAUAACCUUGUCGAUUGACGUUACCCGCAGAAGAAGCACCGGCUAACUCCGUGCCAGCAGCCGCGGUAAUACGGCGGGUGCAAGCGUUAAUCGGAAUUACUGGGCGUAAAGCGCACGCAGGCGGUCUGUCAAGUCGGAUGUGAAAUCCCCGGGCUCAACCUGGGAACUGCAUUCGAAACUGGCAGGCUAGAGUCUUGUAGAGGGGGGUAGAAUUCCAGGUGUAGCGGUGAAAUGCGUAGAGAUCUGGAGGAAUACCGGUGGCGAAGGCGGCCCCCUGGACAAAGACUGACGCUCAGGUGCGAAAGCGUGGGGAGCAAACA
Molecule: ribosomal RNA, 427 nt
Filed under: uncultured bacterium
Lineage: Bacteria
Description: partial 16S ribosomal RNA
Rfam family: Bacterial small subunit ribosomal RNA
Source: RNAcentral